RNAcentral lists this ribosomal RNA (1383 nucleotides) under uncultured bacterium. Its description in RNAcentral is "bacterial SSU rRNA". It matches the Rfam family "Bacterial small subunit ribosomal RNA". The record is from RNAcentral.
GAAUUCGCCCUUAGAGUUUGAUCCUGGCUCAGGACGAACGCUGGCGGCACGCUUAACACAUGCAAGUCGAACGAGAGAAGAGAAGCUUGCUUUUCUGAUCUAGUGGCGGACGGGUGAGUAACACGUGAGCAAUCUGCCUUUCAGAGGGGGAUACCGAUUGGAAACGAUCGUUAAUACCGCAUAACAUAAUUGAACCGCAUGAUUUGAUUAUCAAAGAUUUAUCGCUGAAAGAUGAGCUCGCGUCUGAUUAGCUAGUUGGUAAGGUAACGGCUUACCAAGGCGACGAUCAGUAGCCGGACUGAGAGGUUGAUCGGCCACAUUGGGACUGAGACACGGCCCAGACUCCUACGGGAGGCAGCAGUGGGGAAUAUUGCACAAUGGAGGAAACUCUGAUGCAGCGAUGCCGCGUGAGGGAAGAAGGUUUUAGGAUUGUAAACCUCUGUCUUUGGGGACGAAAAAUGACGGUACCCAAGGAGGAAGCUCCGGCUAACUACGUGCCAGCAGCCGCGGUAAUACGUAGGGAGCGAGCGUUGUCCGGAAUUACUGGGUGUAAAGGGAGCGUAGGCGGGAUCGCAAGUCAGAUGUGAAAACUAUGGGCUUAACCCAUAAACUGCAUUUGAAACUGUGGUUCUUGAGUGAAGUAGAGGUAAGCGGAAUUCCUAGUGUAGCGGUGAAAUGCGUAGAUAUUAGGAGGAACAUCAGUGGCGAAGGCGGCUUACUGGGCUUUAACUGACGCUGAGGCUCGAAAGCGUGGGGAGCAAACAGGAUUAGAUACCCUGGUAGUCCACGCCGUAAACGAUGAUUACUAGGUGUGGGGGGACUGACCCCUUCCGUGCCGCAGCAAACGCAAUAAGUAAUCCACCUGGGGAGUACGACCGCAAGGUUGAAACUCAAAGGAAUUGACGGGGGCCCGCACAAGCAGUGGAGUAUGUGGAUUAAUUCGAAGCAACGCGAAGAACCUUACCAGGUCUUGACAUCGUAUGCAUAGCUCAGAGAUGAGUGAAAUCUCUUCGGAGACAUAUAGACAGGUGGUGCAUGGUUGUCGUCAGCUCGUGUCGUGAGAUGUUGGGUUAAGUCCCGCAACGAGCGCAACCCUUACUGUUAGUUGCUACGCAAGAGCACUCUAGCAGGACUGCCGUUGACAAAACGGAGGAAGGUGGGGAUGACGUCAAAUCAUCAUGCCCCUUAUGACCUGGGCCUCACACGUACUACAAUGGCUGUCAACAGAGGGAUGCAAAGCCGCGAGGUGGAGCGAACCCCUAAAAGCAGUCUUAGUUCGGAUUGUAGGCUGCAACCCGCCUACAUGAAGUCGGAAUUGCUAGUAAUCGCAGAUCAGCAUGCUGCGGUGAAUACGUUCCCGGGCCUUGCACACACCGCCCGUCA